AAAUUUGGGGGUGGCCGUAUCAUUAUGUGGAGCACUGUAGUUAGAAGAUUA
This 51-nucleotide small RNA is filed under the name Caenorhabditis elegans. RNAcentral's name for it is "Unclassified non-coding RNA T24E12.14". Lineage: Eukaryota; Metazoa; Nematoda; Chromadorea; Rhabditida; Rhabditidae. The record is from RNAcentral.